UUUGAGCAGUCGCGGUUUGACCUGUAAAAAGGUCAGGCUGAGGAAAGUCCACGCACGCACGAGCUGCGAUGCUUGUAGUGUUCGUAUUUAGCCAAAUAAGCUAAAGAAUUUUUAAUUACGGCGAAAAAAGUGCUAAAUCAUACGUAAAUGACAUGCAUGAAUAUUCUGAAAAGUGCCACAGUGACGUAGCAGAGGUGGAAACGCUUCUGGUGGAACGAGGUAAACCCUGCGAGCGUGCAACCCAAACUUGGUGGGGGCGUUUCAAUCUAUGAAAAUGAACUAAAGAUUGGAGUUGCUAGUUAUAGCAAAGAUAGAUGGCUGCUAAGGGUAUUUAUGCCACAAAUACCUUAACAGAACGUGGCUUAUAG
RNAcentral lists this RNase P RNA (368 nucleotides) under uncultured Lactobacillus sp. Its description in RNAcentral is "Bacterial RNase P class B". It matches the Rfam family "Bacterial RNase P class B". From Rfam's summary of the family: Ribonuclease P (RNase P) is a ubiquitous endoribonuclease, found in archaea, bacteria and eukarya as well as chloroplasts and mitochondria. Its best characterised activity is the generation of mature 5'-ends of tRNAs by cleaving the 5'-leader elements of precursor-tRNAs. Lineage: Bacteria; Bacillati; Bacillota; Bacilli; Lactobacillales; Lactobacillaceae. The record is from RNAcentral.